Molecule: ribosomal RNA, 463 nt
Filed under: uncultured bacterium
Lineage: Bacteria
Description: bacterial SSU rRNA
Rfam family: Bacterial small subunit ribosomal RNA
Source: RNAcentral
GUACGGGAGGCAGCAGUGGGGAAUUUUGGACAAUGGGCGCAAGCCUGAUCCAGCAAUGCCGCGUGCAGGAUGAAGGCCUUCGGGUUGUAAACUGCUUUUGUACGGAACGAAAAGCCCUGGGUUAAUACCCUGGGGUCAUGACGGUACCGUAAGAAUAAGCACCGGCUAACUACGUGCCAGCAGCCGCGGUAAUACGUAGGGUGCAAGCGUUAAUCGGAAUUACUGGGCGUAAAGCGUGCGCAGGCGGUUUUGUAAGACAGAGGUGAAAUCCCCGGGCUCAACCUGGGAACUGCCUUUGUGACUGCAAGGCUAGAGUACGGCAGAGGGGGAUGGAAUUCCGCGUGUAGCAGUGAAAUGCGUAGAUAUGCGGAGGAACACCGAUGGCGAAGGCAAUCCCCUGGGCCUGUACUGACGCUCAUGCACGAAAGCGUGGGGAGCAAACAGGAUUAGAUACCCCGGUAGU